RNAcentral lists this ribosomal RNA (465 nucleotides) under uncultured bacterium. RNAcentral describes it as "partial 16S ribosomal RNA". It matches the Rfam family "Bacterial small subunit ribosomal RNA", at positions 338 to 795 of the family's 1533-position model. The record is from RNAcentral.
CCUACGGGAGGCAGCAGUAGGGAAUCUUCCACAAUGGGCGAAAGCCUGAUGGAGCAACGCCGCGUGGGUGAAGAAGGUCUUCGGAUCGUAAAACCCUGUUGUUAGAGAAGAAAGUGCGUGAGAGUAACUGUUCACGUUUCGACGGUAUCUAACCAGAAAGCCACGGCUAACUACGUGCCAGCAGCCGCGGUAAUACGUAGGUGGCAAGCGUUAUCCGGUUUUAUUGGGCGUAAAGGGAACGCAGGCGGUCUUUUAAGUCUGAUGUGAAAGCCUUGGGAUUAACCCGAGUAGUUAAUUGGAUACUGUGAGACGUGAGUGCAGAAGAGGAGAGUGGAACUCCAGGUGUAGCGGUGAAAUGCGUAGAGAUAUGGAAGAACACCGGUGGCGAAGGCGGCUCUCUGGUCUGUAACUGACGCUGAGGUUCGAAAGCGUGGGUAGCAAACAGGAUUAGAUACCCUUGUAGUC